UCAUGCAAGUCGAACGAACUCUGGUAUUGAUUGGUGCUUGCAUCAUGAUUUACAUUUGAGUGAGUGGCGAACUGGUGAGUAACACGUGGGAAACCUGCCCAGAAGCGGGGGAUAACACCUGGAAACAGAUGCUAAUACCGCAUAACAACUUGGACCGCAUGGUCCGAGUUUGAAAGAUGGCUUCGGCUAUCACUUUUGGAUGGUCCCGCGGCGUAUUAGCUAGAUGGUGAGGUAACGGCUCACCAUGGCAAUGAUACGUAGCCGACCUGAGAGGGUAAUCGGCCACAUUGGGACUGAGACACGGCCCAAACUCCUACGGGAGGCAGCAGUAGGGAAUCUUCCACAAUGGACGAAAGUCUGAUGGAGCAACGCCGCGUGAGUGAAGAAGGGUUUCGGCUCGUAAAACUCUGUUGUUAAAGAAGAACAUAUCUGAGAGUAACUGUUCAGGUAUUGACGGUAUUUAACCAGAAAGCCACGGCUAACUACGUGCCAGCAGCCGCGGUAAUACGUAGGUGGCAAGCGUUGUCCGGAUUUAUUGGGCGUAAAGCGAGCGCAGGCGGUUUUUUAAGUCUGAUGUGAAAGCCUUCGGCUCAACCGAAGAAGUGCAUCGGAAACUGGGAAACUUGAGUGCAGAAGAGGACAGUGGAACUCCAUGUGUAGCGGUGAAAUGCGUAGAUAUAUGGAAGAACACCAGUGGCGAAGGCGGCUGUCUGGUCUGUAACUGACGCUGAGGCUCGAAAGUAUGGGUAGCAAACAGGAUUAGAUACCCUGGUAGUCCAUACCGUAAACGAUGAAUGCUAAGUGUUGGAGGGUUUCCGCCCUUCAGUGCUGCAGCUAACGCAUUAAGCAUUCCGCCUGGGGAGUACGGCCGCAAGGCUGAAACUCAAAGGAAUUGACGGGGGCCCGCACAAGCGGUGGAGCAUGUGGUUUAAUUCGAAGCUACGCGAAGAACCUUACCAGGUCUUGACAUACUAUGCAAAUCUAAGAGAUUAGACGUUCCCUUCGGGGACAUGGAUACAGGUGGUGCAUGGUUGUCGUCAGCUCGUGUCGUGAGAUGUUGGGUUAAGUCCCGCAACGAGCGCAACCCUUAUUAUCAGUUGCCAGCAUUAAGUUGGGCACUCUGGUGAGACUGCCGGUGACAAACCGGAGGAAGGUGGGGAUGACGUCAAAUCAUCAUGCCCCUUAUGACCUGGGCUACACACGUGCUACAAUGGAUGGUACAACGAGUUGCGAACUCGCGAGAGUAAGCUAAUCUCUUAAAGCCAUUCUCAGUUCGGAUUGUAGGCUGCAACUCGCCUACAUGAAGUCGGAAUCGCUAGUAAUCGCGGAUCAGCAUGCCGCGGUGAAUACGUUCCCGGGCCUUGUACACACCGCCCGUCACACCAUGAGAGUUUGUAACACCCAAAGUCGGUGGGGUAACCUUUUAGGAACCAGCCGCCUAAUGGA
This 1446-nucleotide ribosomal RNA is filed under the name Lactiplantibacillus plantarum. Its description in RNAcentral is "bacterial SSU rRNA". It matches the Rfam family "Bacterial small subunit ribosomal RNA". The record is from RNAcentral. Lineage: Bacteria; Bacillati; Bacillota; Bacilli; Lactobacillales; Lactobacillaceae.